GAUGAACGCUGGCGGCGUGCCUAAUACAUGCAAGUCGAGCGAACAGACGAGGAGCUUGCUCCUCUGACGUUAGCGGCGGACGGGUGAGUAACACGUGGAUAACCUACCUAUAAUACUGGGAUAACUUCGGGAAACCGGAGCUAAUACCGGAUAAUAUAUUGAACCGCAUGGUUCAAUAGUGAAAGACGGUUUUGCUGUCACUUAUAGAUGGAUCCGCGCCGCAUUAGCUAGUUGGUAAGGUAACGGCUUACCAAGGCAACGAUGCGUAGCCGACCUGAGAGGGUGAUCGGCCACACUGGAACUGAGACACGGUCCAGACUCCUACGGGAGGCAGCAGUAGGGAAUCUUCCGCAAUGGGCGAAAGCCUGACGGAGCAACGCCGCGUGAGUGAUGAAGGUCUUCGGAUCGUAAAACUCUGUUAUUAGGGAAGAACAAAUGUGUAAGUAACUAUGCACGUCUUGACGGCACCUAAUCAGAAAGCCACGGCUAACUACGUG
Molecule: ribosomal RNA, 497 nt
Filed under: uncultured bacterium
Lineage: Bacteria
Description: partial 16S ribosomal RNA
Rfam family: Bacterial small subunit ribosomal RNA
Source: RNAcentral